AAUUCUCAACCUUGGAAAGCUUUUGUUAUCCAUGGCUUGGAUGUGGAGGUUGCGGGCUUUUCGAAGUCGGCUCCUCUGAAAUGUAUUAGCUGGGUUUGCGCCUUCAGCCUAUUGGUGUGAUAAUUAUCUACGCCUCUUGUGUUGUUAGCGUGUUAUACUUUCCAGCUUCUAACCGUCCUUCAUUGGACAAUAUUUGACU
Molecule: unclassified non-coding RNA, 199 nt
Filed under: uncultured Nematoctonus
Lineage: Eukaryota; Fungi; Basidiomycota; Agaricomycetes; Agaricales; Pleurotaceae
Description: sequence contains ITS2
Source: RNAcentral